This 466-nucleotide ribosomal RNA is filed under the name uncultured bacterium. RNAcentral describes it as "partial 16S ribosomal RNA". It matches the Rfam family "Bacterial small subunit ribosomal RNA", at positions 28 to 507 of the family's 1533-position model. The record is from RNAcentral.
GAUGAACGCUGGCGGCGUGCUUAACACAUGCAAGUCGAACGGAAGGGCUCCUGCUUGCAGGGGUACUCGAGUGGCGAACGGGUGAGUAACACGUGGGUGAUCUGCCCUGCACUUCGGGAUAAGCCUGGGAAACUGGGUCUAAUACCGGAUAGGACGAUGGUUUGGAUGCCAUUGUGGAAAGUUUUUUCGGUGUGGGAUGAGCUCGCGGCCUAUCAGCUUGUUGGUGGGGUAAUGGCCUACCAAGGCGUCGACGGGUAGCCGGCCUGAGAGGGUGUACGGCCACAUUGGGACUGAGAUACGGCCCAGACUCCUACGGGAGGCAGCAGUGGGGAAUAUUGCACAAUGGGCGCAAGCCUGAUGCAGCGACGCCGCGUGGGGGAUGACGGCCUUCGGGUUGUAAACUCCUUUCGCUAGGGACGAAGCGCAAGUGACGGUACCUGGAGAAGAAGCACCGGCUAACUACGUG